RNAcentral lists this long non-coding RNA (236 nucleotides) under Homo sapiens (human). RNAcentral describes it as "HSALNT0279256". The record is from RNAcentral. Lineage: Eukaryota; Metazoa; Chordata; Mammalia; Primates; Hominidae.
GUCCUAGCCCUCCUGGAGCACUGCCAGGCACCUGGGGUACAUGAGCAUCAAAUGAGAAGGUUCUCGCCCUCCUGGAGCACUGGCAGGCACCUGGGGUAUAUGAGCAUCAAAUGAGAAGGUCCUAGCCCUCCUGGAGCACUGGCAGGCACCUGGGGUACAUGAGCAUCAAAUGAGAAGGUCCUAGCCCUCCUGGAGCACUGGCAGGCACCUGGGGUACAUGAGCAUCAAAUGAGAAG